GUCUACGGCCAUACCACCCUCAAUGUGCCUGAUCUUGUCUGAUCUCGGAAGCUAAGCAGGAUCAGGCUUGAUUAGUACUUGGAUGGUAGACA
Molecule: ribosomal RNA, 92 nt
Organism: Ochotona princeps (American pika)
Lineage: Eukaryota; Metazoa; Chordata; Mammalia; Lagomorpha; Ochotonidae
Source: Ensembl